Molecule: ribosomal RNA, 409 nt
Filed under: grassland soil clone saf1_308
Lineage: Bacteria
Description: bacterial SSU rRNA
Rfam family: Bacterial small subunit ribosomal RNA
Source: RNAcentral
GGCUUAACACAUGCAAGUCGUGCGGGCGUAGCAAUACGUCAGCGGCAGACGGGUGAGUAACGCGUGGGAACAUACCUUUUGGUUCGGAACAACACAGGGAAACUUGUGCUAAUACCGGAUAAGCCCUUACGGGGAAAGAUUUAUCGCCGAAAGAUUGGCCCGCGUCUGAUUAGCUAGUUGGUGAGGUAACGGCUCACCAAGGCGACGAUCAGUAGCUGGUCUGAGAGGAUGAUCAGCCACAUUGGGACUGAGACACGGCCCAAACUCCUACGGGAGGCAGCAGUGGGGAAUAUUGGACAAUGGGCGUAAGCCUGAUCCAGCCAUGCCGCGUGAGUGAUGAAGGCCCUAGGGUUGUAAAGCUCUUUUGUGCGGGAAGAUAAUGACGGUACCGCAAGAAUAAGCCCCGGCU